RNAcentral lists this long non-coding RNA (617 nucleotides) under Homo sapiens (human). Its description in RNAcentral is "HSALNT0074472". Lineage: Eukaryota; Metazoa; Chordata; Mammalia; Primates; Hominidae. The record is from RNAcentral.
AUUGAAAAACCUCACCUACUCUCGCGGGUCCUCAGCGUUCUCCUGCGGAACCUUUGAACGGGGUACUCGAGCCCACAGGGGAAGAGCAGCGGAAGGGGCCUUUCGGAACGAUUUGGAACGAAAGGAAGUGGAAGAAACGCGGAACCAUGGCCGCUGUGGUUGCUGUUUGCGGUGGUCUAGGGAGGAAGAAGUUGACACACUUGGUAACGGCUGCUGUCAGCCUUACACAUCCCGGGACUCACACGGUGCUUUGGAGAAGAGGUUGUUCACAACAGGUAUCCAGCAAUGAGGACCUGCUUUUGUCCCAGUUUGUUUCUCCAUUUACUGGAUGCAUUUAUGGAAGGCACAUUACAGGUCUUUGUGGGAAGAAACAGAAAGAAAUCACAAAAGCAAUUAAGAGAGCUCAAAUAAUGGGUAAGAAAGAAUACCUCAACAACUGAAUUGAGCUAGCUGAAAUUUUGCUCAUUAUGUUUUGUCAAGAACUUUAAUUAUCUCUUUACAGGGUUUAUGCCAGUUACAUACAAGGAUCCUGCAUAUCUCAAGGACCCUAAAGUUUGUAACAUCAGAUAUCGGGAAUAAAUUCUAUCACGUUACCACUAAUAAACUUAUUUUACAGU